Epinephelus fuscoguttatus (brown-marbled grouper) is the source of this 1283-nucleotide long non-coding RNA. RefSeq lists it as uncharacterized. The transcript has 3 exons. NCBI's taxonomy places the organism in Eukaryota, Metazoa, Chordata, Actinopteri, Perciformes, Serranidae. The record is from RefSeq and is a predicted model, not a curated record.
GAUGUGGAAUGUUGCUCUGUUGAUGAGGACAUUAUUGUUGUAGAUGUUUCAUGGGUAGUCAAUGGGAGUUGAGUUGUGCUGGUAGUAUUUGGUGUUGUUUGACUUUUGUGUUCAGGUGCUGUUUGAGUGAAAUGACUAGUUACUGGAGACAAUAUAGAUGGGGAACUGGGUGAGACCUCUGUACUUGUGGUGGGAUUGAUUGCUGUUGUGGGAUGACUAGUCUUGGUAGUUCCUGUUUCUCCUUUUGUGGUUUGGGUUGAGGCUGAGGAAUGUGAUUCAGUUGUUGCUGUGGAUGUUACUGUCGUAGGAGAUGUGGAAUGUUGCUCUGUUGAUGAGGACAUCAUUGUUGUAGAUGUUUCAUGGGUAGUCAGUGGGAGUUGAGUUGUGCUGGUAGUAUUUAGUGUUGUUUGACUUUUGUGUUCAGGUGCUGUUUGAGUGAAAUGAGUAGUUACUGGAGACAAUAUAGAUGGGGAACUGGGUGAGACCUCUGUACUUGUGGUGGGAUUGAUUGCUGUUGUGGGAUGACUAGUCUUGGUAGUUCCUGUUUCUCCUUUUGUGGUUUGGGUUGAGGCUGAGGAAUGUGAUUCACUUGUUGCUGUGGAUGUUAUUGUCGUAGGAGAUGUGGAAUGUUGCUCUGUUGAUGAGGACAUCAUUGUUGUAGAUGUUUCAUGGGUAGUCAAUGGGAGUUGAGUUGUGCUGGUAGUAUUUAGUGUUGUUUGACUUUUGUGUUCAGGUGCUGUUUGAGUGAAAUGAGUAGUUACUGGAGACAAUAUAGAUGGGGAACUGGGUGAGACCUCUGUACUUGUGGUGGGAUUGAUUGCUGUUGUGGGAUGACUAGUCUUGGUAGUUCCUGUUUCUCCUUUUGUGGUUUGGGUUGAGGCUGAGGAAUGUGAUUCAGUUGUUGCUGUGGAUGUUACUGUCGUAGAAGAUGUGGAAUGUUGCUCUGUUGAUGAGGACAUCAUUGUUGUUGAUGUUUCAUGGGUAGUCAGUGGGAGUUGAGUUGUGCUGGUAGUAUUUGGUGUUGUUUGACUUUUGUGUUCAGGUGCUGUUUGAGUGAAAUGACUAGUUACUGGAGACAAUAUAGAUGGGGAACUGGGUGAGACCUCUGUACUUGUGGUGGGAUUGAUUGCUGUUGUGGGAUGACUAGUCUUGGUAGUUCCUGUUUCUCCUUUUGUGGUUUGGGUUGAGGCUGAGGAAUGUGAUUCAGUUGUUGCUGUUGAUGUUAUUGUCGUAGGAGAUGUGGAAUGUUGCUCUGUUGAUGAGGACAUCAUUGUUGUAGAUGU